This is an unclassified non-coding RNA of Cavia aperea (Brazilian guinea pig), 108 nucleotides long. It matches the Rfam family "Y RNA". Rfam says of the family: Y RNAs are components of the Ro ribonucleoprotein particle (Ro RNP), in association with Ro60 and La proteins. NCBI's taxonomy places the organism in Eukaryota, Metazoa, Chordata, Mammalia, Rodentia, Caviidae. The record is from Ensembl.
GGCUGGUCCGAAGGUAGUGAGUUAUCUCGAUUGUUCACAGUCAGUACAGAUUGAACUCCUUGUACUACUCUUUCCCCCCUUCUCACUACUGCACUUGACAAGUUUUUU